RNAcentral lists this ribosomal RNA (331 nucleotides) under uncultured bacterium. RNAcentral describes it as "bacterial SSU rRNA". It matches the Rfam family "Bacterial small subunit ribosomal RNA", at positions 567 to 898 of the family's 1533-position model. The record is from RNAcentral.
GCGCGUAGGUGGUAGUGCAAGUCUGAGGUGGAAUCCCAGGGCUUAACCCUGGAACUGCCUUGGAAACUGCACUACUUGAGUCAGUGAGGGGAGGGUAGAAUUCCUGGUGUAGCGGUGAAAUGCGUAGAUAUCAGGAGGAAGGCCGGUGGCGAAGGCGGCCCUCUGGCGCUGAACUGACACUGAGGCGCGAAAGCGUGGGUAGCAAACAGGAUUAGAUACCCUGGUAGUCCACGCCCUAAACGGUGGGUACUAGGUGUAGGGCUCGUAAGGGUUCUGUGCCGAAGCGAAAGCAUUAAGUACCCCGCCUGGGGAGUACGGCCGCAAGGUUGAA